AUGUGCAUUCCAAAAAUGAGUAAAGGUAUGGGGUUUAGAGAUAUAUAUUGCCUCAACCUUGCUCUGCUUGCUAAACGAGCGUGGCAAUUAAUCGAGAACUUAGAUUCUCUUUGUGCUAUGGUGCUACAAGAAAGAUACUACCCUUCUGGACCUUUGAAUGCGGAGGCGAAAAAGGUAGCUUCUAUACAUGGCAGAACAUAUGCUACGGGAUCAAAACAGUCAAGAAAAAAUGGACAUAUGUGGCGUGUCAUGGUAAUAGUAUAG
RNAcentral lists this ribosomal RNA (264 nucleotides) under Triticum aestivum (bread wheat). Its description in RNAcentral is "partial small subunit ribosomal RNA". Lineage: Eukaryota; Viridiplantae; Streptophyta; Magnoliopsida; Poales; Poaceae. The record is from RNAcentral.